GAGACUGACAAGUCGAGCAGGGACGAAAGUCGGGCUUAGUGAUCCGGUGGUUCCGCAUGGAAGGGCCAUCGCUCAACGGAUAAAAGCUACCCCGGGGAUAACAGGCUUAUCUCCCCCAAGAGUCCACAUCGACGGGGAGGUUUGGCACCUCGAUGUCGGCUCGUCGCAUCCUGGGGCUGAAGUAGGUCCCAAGGGUAUGGCUGUUCGCCAUUUAAAGUGGUACGCGAGCUGGGUUUAGAACGUCGUGAGACAGUUCGGUCCCUAUCUGCCGUGGGCGCUGGAGAAUUGAGGGGGGCUGCUCCUAGUACGAGAGGACCGGAG
This 321-nucleotide ribosomal RNA is filed under the name Listeria monocytogenes. RNAcentral describes it as "partial 23S ribosomal RNA". It matches the Rfam family "Bacterial large subunit ribosomal RNA", at positions 2377 to 2697 of the family's 2925-position model. The record is from RNAcentral. Lineage: Bacteria; Bacillati; Bacillota; Bacilli; Caryophanales; Listeriaceae.